AACGAACGCUGGCGGCAUGCCUAACACAUGCAAGUCGAACGAGACCUUCGGGUCUAGUGGCGCACGGGUGCGUAACGCGUGGGAACCUGCCCUUAGGUUCGGAAUAACUCCCCGAAAGGGGUGCUAAUACCGGAUAAUGUCUUCGGACCAAAGAUUUAUCGCCUUUGGAUGGGCCCGCGUUGGAUUAGCUAGUUGGUAGGGUAAAAGCCUACCAAGGCGACGAUCCAUAGCUGGUCUGAGAGGAUGAUCAGCCACACUGGGACUGAGAUACGGCCCAGACUCCUACGGGAGGCAGCAGUGGGGAAUAUUGGACAAUGGGCGAAAGCCUGAUCCAGCAAUGCCGCGUGAGUGAUGAAGUCCUUAGGGUUGUAAAGCUCUUUUACCCGGGAUGAUAAUGACAGUACCGGGAGAAUAAGCUCCGGCUAACUCCGUG
RNAcentral lists this ribosomal RNA (433 nucleotides) under uncultured bacterium. RNAcentral describes it as "partial 16S ribosomal RNA". It matches the Rfam family "Bacterial small subunit ribosomal RNA", at positions 29 to 507 of the family's 1533-position model. The record is from RNAcentral.